GACGAACGCUGGCGGCGUGCUUAACACAUGCAAGUCGAACGGUUCUGUCGUUGGUCGACAGACGUCGGACGUUAGAGUGAAUGCAGGAUUCCAGGUCUAAGACCGGAGAUGAAUGCAGAUAUACCUGGCGACUGCCGCCUGUCGACUGACGACCGAAUAGUGGCGGACGGGUGAGUAACGCGUGGAUAACCUGCCCACAAGACUGGGAUAACGCCGGGAAACUGGUGCUAAUACCGGAUAAGUUCUUCGGGGUGCAUGCCCUGGAGAAGAAAGGGGAAACCCGCUUAUGGAUGGAUCCGCGUCCCAUUAGCUUGUUGGUGGGGUAACGGCCUACCAAGGCGACGAUGGGUAGCCGGCCUGAGAGGGUGGCCGGCCACACUGGGACUGAGACACGGCCCAGACUCCUACGGGAGGCAGCAGUGGGGAAUCUUCCGCAAUGGGCGAAAGCCUGACGGAGCAACGCCGCGUGAGUGACGAAGGCCCUUGGGUCGUAAAACUCUGUCUUCAGGGAAGAAAAAAAUGACGGUACCUGAGGAGGAAGCCCCGGCUAACUACGUGCCAGCAGCCGCGGUAAAACGUAGGGGGCGAGCGUUGUCCGGAAUUACUGGGCGUAAAGGGCGUGUAGGCGGCCCGUGAAGUCAGGAGUGAAAACUCGGGGCUCAACCUCGAGAUUGCUUUUGAAACCAGCGGGCUUGAGUGCAGGAGAGGAAAGUGGAAUUCCCAGUGUAGCGGUGAAAUGCGUAGAUAUUGGGAGGAACACCAGUGGCGAAAGCGGCUUUCUGGCCUGUAACUGACGCUGAGGCGCGAAAGCGUGGGGAGCAAACAGGAUUAGAUACCCUGGUAGUCCACGCCGUAAACGAUGGGUGCUAAGUGUUGGGGGUAUCGACCCCCUCAGUGCUGUAGUUAACGCAAUAAGCACCCCGCCUGGGGAGUACGGUCGCAAGACUGA
Molecule: ribosomal RNA, 949 nt
Filed under: uncultured bacterium
Lineage: Bacteria
Description: bacterial SSU rRNA
Rfam family: Bacterial small subunit ribosomal RNA
Source: RNAcentral